AUUGAACGCUGGCGGCAUGCUUUACACAUGCAAGUCGAACGGCAGCGCGGGCUUCGGCCUGGCGGCGAGUGGCGCACGGGUGAGUAAUGCAUCGGAACGUGCCCCGUUGUGGGGGAUAGCCCGGCGAAAGCCGGAUUAAUACCACCUACGACCUGAGGGUGCAAGCGGGGGACCGAAAGGCCUCGCGCUAUUUGGGCGGCCGAUGUCGGGUUAGCUAGUUGGUGGGGUAAAGGCUUACCAAGGCGACGAUCCGUAGCUGGUCUGAGAGGACGACCAGCCACACUGGGACGGAGACACGGACCUGACUCCUAAGGGAGGCAGCAGUGGGGAAUGUUGGACAAUGGGGGCAACCCUGAUCCAGCCAGGCCGCGUGCGAGAAGAAGGCCUUCGGGUUGUAAACCGCUUUUGUUCGGGAAGAAAUCCUCUGGGCUAAUACCCCGGGGGGAUGACGGUACCGGAAGAAUAAGCACCGGCUAACUACGUG
RNAcentral lists this ribosomal RNA (484 nucleotides) under uncultured bacterium. RNAcentral's name for it is "partial 16S ribosomal RNA". It matches the Rfam family "Bacterial small subunit ribosomal RNA", at positions 28 to 507 of the family's 1533-position model. The record is from RNAcentral.